RNAcentral lists this unclassified non-coding RNA (343 nucleotides) under soil metagenome. RNAcentral describes it as "partial contains 5.8S ribosomal RNA, internal transcribed spacer 2, and large subunit ribosomal RNA". The stretch from base 1 to 120 matches the Rfam family "5.8S ribosomal RNA", at positions 35 to 154 of the family's 154-position model. The record is from RNAcentral.
GAUGAAGAACGUAGCGAAAUGCGAUAAGUAAUGUGAAUAGCAGAAUUCAGUGAAUCAUCGAAUCUUUGAACGCACAUUGCGCCCGCUAGUAUUCUGGCGGGCAUGCCUGUCCGAGCGUCAUUUCAACCCUCAAGCCCCCGGGCUUGGUGUUGGGGAUCGGCGAGCCUCCGCGCCCGCCGUCCCCUAAAUCUAGUGGCGGUCUCGCUGUAGCUUCCUCUGCGUAGUAGCACACCUCGCACUGGGAAACAGCGCGGCCACGCCGUUAAACCCCCAACUUCUGAACGUUUGACCUCGGAUCAGGUAGGAAUACCCGCUGAACUUAAGCAUAUCAAUAAGCGGAGGA